GAUCGGCUCAGGAUGAACGCUAGCUACAGGCUUAACACAUGCAAGUCGAGGGGCAGCAUGGCGAUAGCUUGCUAUUGUUGAUGGCGACCGGCGCACGGCUGAGUAACGCGUAUCCAACCUGCCCUUGUCCAUCGGAUAACCCGUCGAAAGGCGGCCUAACACGAUAUGCAGUUCUCAGCAGGCAUCUAACGAGAACGAAAUGUAAAGGAGAAGGAUGGGGAUGCG
RNAcentral lists this ribosomal RNA (225 nucleotides) under uncultured bacterium. RNAcentral's name for it is "partial 16S ribosomal RNA". It matches the Rfam family "Bacterial small subunit ribosomal RNA", at positions 15 to 235 of the family's 1533-position model. The record is from RNAcentral.